GCUUCAACGGUCUUCUUUGCUACCUGAUUACCUCCUAUGCUCUAUGUCAACGUUAACUUCCUAAUUCUUGAUGGGUUGAAGCGACCUUUCUUCCUUAGGGAAGAAAGGUUGCUCCCUUUCUUGCCUUUGCCAGGCCUGUGAUGUACUUGUCUGUACAGCUGACAGCUGUACAGAUCUGAGGCCACAUGCUCCCAGGUCU
Ricinus communis (castor bean) is the source of this 199-nucleotide long non-coding RNA. RefSeq lists it as uncharacterized. The transcript has 2 exons. The record is from RefSeq and is a predicted model, not a curated record. NCBI's taxonomy places the organism in Eukaryota, Viridiplantae, Streptophyta, Magnoliopsida, Malpighiales, Euphorbiaceae.